UACGUAGGGAGCAAGCGUUAUCCGGCUUUAUUGGGUUUAAAGGGUGCGCAGGCGGAUUUUUAAGUCAGCGGUCAAAUCGUGGGGCUCAACCCCGGCCCGCCGUUGAAACUGGCUGGCUUGAGUUGGGGAAAGGCAGGCGGAAUGCGCGGUGUAGCGGUGAAAUGCAUAGAUAUCGCGCAGAACUCCGAUUGCGAAGGCAGCAUACCGGCGCCCAACUGACGCUGAGGCACGAAAGCGUGGGUAUCGAACAGG
This 252-nucleotide ribosomal RNA is filed under the name uncultured Bacteroidales bacterium. RNAcentral describes it as "partial 16S ribosomal RNA". It matches the Rfam family "Bacterial small subunit ribosomal RNA", at positions 524 to 776 of the family's 1533-position model. Lineage: Bacteria; Pseudomonadati; Bacteroidota; Bacteroidia; Bacteroidales. The record is from RNAcentral.